This 411-nucleotide ribosomal RNA is filed under the name uncultured prokaryote. RNAcentral's name for it is "bacterial SSU rRNA". It matches the Rfam family "Bacterial small subunit ribosomal RNA", at positions 505 to 918 of the family's 1533-position model. The record is from RNAcentral.
GUGCCAGCAGCCGCGGUAAUACGGAGGAUCCGAGCGUUAUCCGGAUUUACUGGGGUUAAAGGGUGCGUAGGCGGCCCAACAAGUCAGCGGUGAAAUGUGGCGGCUCAACCGUUUCGCUGCCGCUGAUACUGCUGGGCUUGGAUUCGGUCGAGGCGGGUGGCAUUCGUGGUGUAGCGGUGAAAUGCAUAGAUAUCACGAGGAACGCCGAUAGCGAAGGCAGCUCGCCGGGCCGCGAUCGACGCUGAGGCACGAAAGCGUGGGGAUCAAACAGGAUUAGAUACCCUGGUAGUCCACGCUGUAAACGAUGAUUACUCGCUGUUGGCGAUACACAGUCAGCGGCUAAGCGAAAGUGAUAAGUAAUCCACCUGGGGAGUACGUUCGCAAGAAUGAAACUCAAAUGAAUUGACGGGG